RNAcentral lists this ribosomal RNA (232 nucleotides) under uncultured bacterium. Its description in RNAcentral is "partial 16S ribosomal RNA". It matches the Rfam family "Bacterial small subunit ribosomal RNA", at positions 118 to 350 of the family's 1533-position model. The record is from RNAcentral.
UGGGCAACCUGCCCUCAGCUCUGGGAUAACCCCGGGAAACCGGGCUAAUACCGGAUACGACCUCCGCGGGCAUCUGCGGAGGUGGAAAGGUUUUUCCGGCUGAGGAUGGGCCCGCGGCCUAUCAGCUAGUUGGUGUGGGUAAUGGCCCACCAAGGCGACGACGGGUAGCCGGCCUGAGAGGGUGACCGGCCACACUGGGACUGAGACACGGCCCAGACUCCUACGGGAGGCA